Pollicipes pollicipes is the source of this 345-nucleotide long non-coding RNA. RefSeq lists it as uncharacterized. NCBI's taxonomy places the organism in Eukaryota, Metazoa, Arthropoda, Thecostraca, Pollicipedomorpha, Pollicipedidae. The record is from RefSeq and is a predicted model, not a curated record. The transcript is spliced from 3 exons.
GCCGCCGCGGCCCGGGCCCGACUACUUCUUCGACCCGACCACACAGGCCAACCUGAUCCCGCUGCAUCAGUACAUCCUGGAGCAGGCGAAGCUUUCCGGGUACCGGUUCGGCGACGCGCUGGCCGACGACCGGGAGAGCUGGCGCAGCGAGGACUCUGGUCCGGCCGACGACUCGGACGAGUUCGCCGACGACGAAGGCGUCAGCAACGCCGACUCGUCCGGCCUGGACGACUACCUGGAGGAGGACGACCGCUACCAGAACUUCAUUCUGCCGCCGCACCUGCGCCACCGACAAAAGCUGAACGGGCGGUCCGAGUCGGACCUGGUGGACGGCAGCGCCGGCGG